Molecule: ribosomal RNA, 1354 nt
Filed under: Myroides sp. WP-1
Lineage: Bacteria; Pseudomonadati; Bacteroidota; Flavobacteriia; Flavobacteriales; Flavobacteriaceae
Description: partial 23S ribosomal RNA
Rfam family: Bacterial large subunit ribosomal RNA
Source: RNAcentral
AUAGGAGGCGAACCUGCUGAACUGAAACAUCUAAGUAGGCAGAGGAGAAGAAAACAAAAGUGAUUCCGCUAGUAGUGGCGAGCGAACGCGGAAUAGCCCAAACCAAUGUUGUUACGGCAAUAUUGGGGUUGUAGGACCACGAGAUUUCUUGCGGAUUGAAUUAGAAUAACCUGGAAAGGUUAACCACAGAGGGUGACAGUCCCGUAUAAGUAAGAGAAGAUAAGGAUAGUGGUAUCCUGAGUAGGUCGGGGCACGUGAAACCCUGAUUGAAACUGGCGGGACCAUCCGCUAAGGCUAAAUACUCCUGAGAGACCGAUAGUGAACCAGUACCGUGAGGGAAAGGUGAAAAGAACCGUGAAUAACGGAGUGAAAUAGAACCUGAAACCAUACGCCUACAAGCGGUCGGAGCCCAUUCGUUGGGUGACGGCGUGCCUUUUGCAUAAUGAGCCUACGAGUUACCGUUGCUGGCGAGGAUAAGUGAUUAAGUCAUGGAUCCGUAGCGAAAGCGAGUCUUAAUAGGGCGCUUUAGUCAGUAGUGGUAGACGCGAAACCGUGUGAUCUACCCAUGGGCAGGUUGAAGUUUAGGUAACACUAAAUGGAGGACCGAACCGUUUAACGCUGAAAAGUUUUCGGAUGACCUGUGGGUAGGGGUGAAAGGCCAAUCAAACUCGGAAAUAGCUCGUACUCCCCGAAAUGCAUUUAGGUGCAGCGAUGAUCAUAGUUACUUAGAGGUAGAGCUACUGAUUGGAUGCGGGGGCUUCACCGCCUACCAAUUCCUGACAAACUCCGAAUGCUAAUUAAUGAUAAUCAUCAGUGAGGGCAUGGGUGCUAAGGUCCAUGUCCGAGAGGGAAAGAACCCAGACCAUCAGCUAAGGUCCCCAAAUGUAUGCUAAGUUGAAAAAACGCGGUUUGAUUGCCCAGACAGCUAGGAUGUUGGCUUGGAAGCAGCCAUUCAUUUAAAGAGUGCGUAACAGCUCACUAGUCGAGCGAUCGAGCAUGGAUAAUAAUCGGGCAUAAGUAUACUACCGAAGCUAUGGAUUUACGUUUUAAACGUGAGUGGUAGGGGAGCAUUCUAUCGACGCUGAAGCCGUAUUGUGAGAUAUGGUGGAGUUUAUAGAAAAGAAAAUGUAGGCAUAAGUAACGAUAAGGGGUGCGAGAAACACCCCCGCCGUAAGACUAAGGUUUCCUGAGCUAUGCUAAUCAGCUUAGGGUUAGUCGGGACCUAAGGCACACCCGAAGGGGGACGUCGAUGGCCAACGGGUUAAUAUUCCCGUACUACUAAUAAUUGUGAUGGAGUGACACAGUGAUGAAAGCACCGCGAACUGACGGAAUAGUUCGUUGAAGCACGUACCUA